This is an RNA transcript of Vitis riparia (riverbank grape), 3985 nucleotides long. It is a transcript of the gene named cryptochrome-1, with no coding region annotated. The record is from RefSeq and is a predicted model, not a curated record. Lineage: Eukaryota; Viridiplantae; Streptophyta; Magnoliopsida; Vitales; Vitaceae. The transcript is spliced from 7 exons.
CCCACGUGAUCUCCACAUCAAUGGAGUGAUGCAUACAUUGCAUUUCUUCCUUCCUUCCAGGGAAAAGUGGAAUAAUACUGGAAAUUAUUAUUAUUAUAUUCACAAGGGCUGAGUCAAAUAGUGAAAAAUAUAUUUAAUUUGAGGAUUGUUGACUCGUAGGCAAUUGGGUAUUUCAUAUUUGAUAAAAUUUCACACUGAAAAGCUCAUACAGUUGAAAAGGGACAAAGACUCUUAAUUGAUUAUUGCUAUAUUUAUUAUUAUUUUAUUAUUAUUAUUGAUUUUUCUUUGCAUAUCCUAGUUCUCUCUGGAUAAUAUUCUGUAUUGUGUGCAAAUUAGCAAGGAAUCAUAUGCUGGUGGUUUGUCUCAGAUCUACUGCCCUCAGUCACAUGAAAUCAUCUCUUCUGUCUGUUGGACUGUUGUUCAACAGCUCUGGUCUCUAGGUGCACCCAUGAGCACUUGUUUGGGGUUUCAGGGAAGUGCUCCUCAAUUUGGGGUUGCUUUUCCUGGGAGGAUUUUGGGUGUGCGAUAGGGCUUCAGGGUUGGAGAUAUUUUCUGGGAUUCUGGAAUUUGAUUGGUCGUUUGGUAGUGGAGUUAGAGACUGAUAAGACCUAUGUGUGAGGCCUAACUGGGGAUGGAUAUAUAGGUUGGGUGCAGUAGGGGUUGAAGUUUCUGAACGGUUGUCCACUUGGGUUUUCUUGAAAACAUUAGCGCUUGUGAGAGGCCAGUCACAUCUUGAUGGCUUAGCUGUUUCCGGCGUUAAUUACUUUUUCCAUCUUUAACUAGGCAAAAUCCUAUAUCUCAAAUUGUUAGGUUUUGGAAUCUUCUAUCAUAAUUUGUGGCUUUUGGGUGCUAUCAUUAAUAUUUUCUGGAUAUUUUUGCCAAAUCUGUGACCCCAACUUGGGCUUCAAGUGCUAUAAUUUCGAUUUUGUGUUGCUGCAUGAGUUUCUUGUAUUGGGUAUAUAUAUAGAUAUUGUCUGGUUGAAUCAAUAACCACUGGGAAUUCAGUUGAUGUGCCAUGUGUUUUAUUGCAGUAAUGAUAGAGAAAUUCUUUUAGAGUAUUGUGGUGUAUGGUUUGAAUUGGCAUCUGAGCUCUCAAAUAUGAGUAGCGACUCGAGGACUGUUGUUUGGUUUAGGAGGGAUCUCAGGGUUGAUGAUAAUCCUGCUUUAGCCACUGCGGCUAAGGAGGGUAGUGUUCUCCCUGUCUUUAUAUGGUGUCCUAAAGAAGAAGGACAAUUCUACCCAGGUCGGGUUUCAAGGUGGUGGCUGAAGCAGUCUCUUAUGCACUUGAAACAGUCAUUGAGAUCUCUUGGGGCUGACCUUCUUGUGAUCAAAGCCGAAUCUACUAUCGAGGCUCUUCUGGAGUGUAUCCAUGCUAUUGGAGCCACAAAACUAGUAUAUAAUCAUCUUUAUGAUCCCAUUUCCCUUGUUCGUGACCACAGCAUCAAACAAAAACUGAUGGAGCUUGGCAUGUCAGUGCAAAGCUACAAUGGAGAUUUAUUGUAUAAGCCAUGGGACAUAUAUGAUGAUAAAGGAAAUGCUUUUACUACUUUUGAGGCUUAUUGGAACAAGUGCUUGAGCAUGCAGAUGGAAUUUGUUUCACUUCUUCCUCCAUGGCGAUUAGUGCCAGCUGCAGGGAAAGUUAACAAUUGUUCGAUUGAGGAAUUGGGUCUUGAAGAUGAGUCAGAAAAAUCUAGCAAUGCUUUACUAGGAAGAGGAUGGUCUCCUGGUUGGAGCAAUGCUGACAAGGCUCUAACUGAAUUUAUUGAGCAGCAUCUGUUUGACUACUCAAAGAAUAGGCUCAAGGUGGAGGGGAAUUCCACAUCUCUCUUGUCUCCAUAUCUUCAUUUUGGAGAAUUAAGUGUGAGGAAAGUUCUACAUUCCGUCCGAAUGAAGCAAUUACUGUGGGUGAAAGAAGGGAACUCUGUCUGGGAAGAGAGUGUGGAUCUUUUUCUCAGGGCAAUUGGCUUAAGAGAAUAUUCACGUUACCUUUGUUUCAACUUCCCAUCCACUCAUGAGAGACCGUUGCUUAGCAACUUGAAACACUUCCCUUGGCAUGCUGACCAUGUCCACUUUAAGGCCUGGAGACAGGGUCGUACUGGUUACCCAUUAGUAGAUGCAGGAAUGAGAGAGCUUUGGGCAACUGGGUGGAUUCAUAAUAGAAUAAGAGUGAUCGUUUCGAGUUUUGCUGUCAAGUUUCUGCUACUUCCAUGGAAAUGGGGGAUGAAAUACUUCUGGGACACACUUUUAGAUGCUGAUUUGGAAAGUGAUAUCCUUGGUUGGCAGUAUAUCUCAGGGAGCUUACCUGAUGGUCACGAGCUUGACCGUUUGGACAGCCCAGAGAUUCAAGGCUCCAAUUAUGAUCCAGACGGUGAAUAUGUGAGACAUUGGCUGCCUGAGCUAGCAAGAGUGCCCACUGAGUGGAUCCAUCAUCCUUGGGAUGCUCCCUUUACUGUGCUUAAAUCUGCAGGGGUAGAGUUGGGACAAAACUAUCCAAAACCUAUAAUUGAGAUAGAUUUGGCUAGAGAGCGUCUAACUGAAGCUAUAUUUAUGAUGUGGGAAAAGGAUGCUGCCACAAAAGUUGCAAACUCAAAUGGGACAAAUGAAGAAGUUGUCGAUAACUCUGAUGGUAUUGAAAACUUAGCCAUUGCAAACGUCAGUGUGAAAGAAAAGACUCCUUGCCCUACCAGUUCAUCCCAUGAUCAGAGGGUGCCCACAUUUCAGAAUUCCAAGAGUGGUUUGUUAAAUAGGAAGAGAGCAAAGUGUAUUGAAGAUGAGAAGCUGUCUCAAAAUAACCUGCACAACUAUGACCAUGGAUGUGGGACUUCAAGAGCAGAUGAAGAUUUGCGCUCUACAGCUGAAUCUUCUUCAGCCAAGAAGCAGGCCACUAGCAGAACUUCGUUCUCUGUUCCACAGUCUUGUUCCUCAUCAUCAAAAGGCAAUCCUUUGCAGGAGUAUGAAUCUCCUGGUCUGAAGCAACCAUGGCCAGAACAGAUUGUCUGGGAAAAAACUUCAAGUAAAGAUGAAUAUCAAAAUCUGCAAAAUCCAUUCAAACUCAAUGACCUCAAUUAUUUGGUGUGGUCUCAACUAGUGCGAACCUUUUUGAAGGGAAAAGGAAAACCGAGUCAUCUAAUUAUACUUGUUCCAAGUGAAGACGAUCCAAAGUUUAUAGCAUGGGAUAAAGAGGAUUCAAUGAUUAUGUCAUGGUUGUGGAAUUCAAUGCAACCAGAGAUUAGUGGGACGUUCAUCUUGUUAAGGACAGCUAGAGAUAUUUGGGAGACUGUUCGACAAUCAUACUCUAAAGUGAGGGAUGCUAUCCACAUCUACGAAAUAAAGACCAAGAUUGGUGCUACCAAGCAAGGACCAAGCCACUGGGAGGACGAUUGGGCAUGCUAAGGAACAGGAGGAUUUGUAUCUACUUGGAUCCAGUUUUGGGAAUGGUGAUUGAACUACGGAAGGUUAGCGUCUGGGCUUCACAAAUCAAGAACUGCAUUGUUUGAUCAAGGCAAAGAACUUUCAGUGCAUGAAUGCAACUGUUUGAUACUGUUAUGAUUUGGUACGACCUACUUAAAUAUGUGCUUCUUGAUAUAUAUGCUUACUGGCUGAUUAUAUACUUCCUUAUUUUCCUUCACGGCUCUCUGAGGAUAGAAUUUGAAAAUUCCAGCAGUUAACAAGAAGCUUGAAGCACCUAACCUCAUUUUUUUAUAUGUAUAUAUAGCUCAUAUAUAUAUUUUUUUCCCUUUUGGGUCAGGACAUUGUAUGUAUGUGUAUAAUGUCUAUAUAUGGAUGCAUUUAUGCAUUCAUUUACAGAAGACCAUACUUCAUGUAGAAUGGAUAAAGCAUCUAUGCCCUGCCUAUCUACUCUUCUAUGGAUUCAUGUAAUUCAGGAAUCAGGAUUCGGUAUUAUAGCUUUGUAAGCGUAGUUAUCAGAUGAUACAUGUUUAAAUUUGUAUUUCCAUGGAUGACAAAAUCCAUGAUCAAUUUUGUU